AUUGAACGCUGGCGGCAGGCUUAACACAUGCAAGUCGAGCGGGGGAAGGUAGCUUGCUACCGGACCUAGCGGCGGACGGGUGAGUAAUGCUUAGGAAUCUGCCUAUUAGUGGGGGACAACAUCUCGAAAGGGAUGCUAAUACCGCAUACGUCCUACGGGAGAAAGCAGGGGAUCUUCGGACCUUGCGCUAAUAGAUGAGCCUAAGUCGGAUUAGUUAGUUGGUGGGGUAAAGGCCUACCAAGGCGACAAUCUGUAGCGGGUCUGGGAGGAUGAUCCGCCACACUGGGACUGAGACGCGGCCCAGACUCCUACGGGAGGCAGCAGUGGGGAAUAUUGGACAAUGGGGGGAACCCUGAUCCAGCCAUGCCGCGUGUGUGAAGAAGGCCUUAUGGUUGUAAAGCACUUUAAGCGAGGAGGAGGCUACUUUAGUUAAUACCUAGAGAUAGUGGACGUUACUCGCAGAAUAAGCACCGGCUAACUCUGUGCCAGCCGCCGCCGUAA
Molecule: ribosomal RNA, 501 nt
Filed under: uncultured bacterium
Lineage: Bacteria
Description: partial 16S ribosomal RNA
Rfam family: Bacterial small subunit ribosomal RNA
Source: RNAcentral